UACGUAGGGUGCGAGCGUUGUCCGGAAUUAUUGGGCGUAAAGGGCUCGUAGGCGGUUUGUCGCGUCGGGAGUGAAAACCUUGGGCUUAACUCAGGGCUUGCUUUCGAUACGGGCAGACUAGAGGUAUGCAGGGGAGAACGGAAUUCCUGGUGUAGCGGUGAAAUGCGCAGAUAUCUGGAGGAACACCGGUGGCGAAGGCGGCAUCCUGGACCGGCAUUGACGCUGAGGCGCGAAAGCCAGGGGAGCAAACGGG
RNAcentral lists this ribosomal RNA (253 nucleotides) under uncultured bacterium. RNAcentral describes it as "partial 16S ribosomal RNA". It matches the Rfam family "Bacterial small subunit ribosomal RNA", at positions 524 to 776 of the family's 1533-position model. The record is from RNAcentral.